GUAUGUAUGCGUGGGUACUGAGGAUAAAGUUAUGGCGCCUGCUUAUUUGUGAGUGCUGUAGAAGUCAAAGUGCGCAACGAGCGUUUCCUUCUGAUCCAUUCGUGUCUCUUCGGAGGGAUCGACUUGAUUUUGCGACCCUUCGAUGCCUUUAGAAGACCACUUCAAUUCCAGAAGAUUCCUCCUUCAUCAGUUCGAACACAAUUUCGAGUACAACGAAGUUCCUGUAACGUGUAAUUAACUUUGAUUUUUUCAAGAAGGCGUCCCUAACGGGAGUUCCUUCUCGAGGGCUGAAAUCGGUCCUUCGGGUAGCUGAACGUCUUCGGGAUAAUUCCGGAGAAAAUGGCCAGUGAUCUGUCCAGUGGUUGCACAGAGGCCAUCGAGAUAUUGGACGAGAAGGAAGAGGGCGAGAUCUCGCUGGACGACGUCAGCUCCUGGGAAGAGUCGCAGCUUAAUUAUGCAUACAAUCUUCAAAAAGCUGGACAGUGUCCCUGCUGCCUUUCGUGGCAACAUUGUGCACCUUGGUGCACGUUAACUGGCAAUUCAAAGAAAUUUAAGAGGCGAAAGAGGAGAGAUGCUGUGCAAGAGAAGGAGAACCGCCAUCAUACCAGGGAAUCUGGCUACCCUGGAAGCAAGCAUGCGGGUUCGACGUUGCAAGAGAAAAACGAGGGUCUCGUACCAAUCUCGAGUGACAGCGACAUGGACCUCGGGGACUGCGACGAUUCCACCGAUUUGGAGCGCAUGAAACAAACGCGAGAAAGCCUGCUCUUAAGACUAAGUAAAAAGCGCAAAAAAAAGAAACGGAAACGUAUCCAUGGCUCCAUCGGUGCUCAGAAUGAACACGUACCACCAUCCUCCUUUGUCACAUCAUCGGGAUGCUUUGUCUCUGCUGCAUGUUCACCAAUACCUGCACAAGACGACACCGAAUCGCUACUAAUACCCGUAGAAUCAAGUCCUCCACAUCUAAAUGAAUGCCUUAGUAAACCCAAAGUUUCCAGGUCUCCACCGAGAAAGUAUAAAUCUCCAAUUAGAUACCAAUCACCUAUUCGUAGACCAAGAUCACCUAUUUCUUUGACUACAAGGUCACCAGAUCCUAGAAGAAUUACUCGAUCGCUCAGGGGCACGAGAAGAUCUCCUCGAAGAUCUCCCAUAAGGUCACCUCAUCGGCGAUCUCCUAUAAGAUCACCUCAUCGGCGAUCUCCCAUAAGAUCACAACAUCGUCGAUCCCCAGUAAGAUCACCUCCUCGAAAAGUGGCCAGAAAUACAUCACCUUCUCGAGGUUACAGUAACAGAAGUCACGGAACAGUGGCAAAGCUUCUAAAAAAGGUACGACAUUUGGAAACGGUUGGGUCUCAACCUUUGAGUAAGUUUAAAGGAGGUAAAAAGUAUGGGCCAUCUUUGAAGCAGAAAUUAAACAUAGUGAAGGAAUCAAGUGCUGCAGGUAGUGAAACAAAAGCAAGCGAGAAAAAUAGUUCAAAUAAUAAUACUAAUAAUGAUGCCGAUGACGAGGAAGAUAUAGCUUUGCUCAGAAAAAUCGCUUUAGAAACGAAGUCGCAGAGGAGAACUAAGAGGAAUGCAAUUCCUUCAAAAAGUGAGGCUGAAAUCCAGCCUUCCUGUGUAAUCGAUCUGGAAGAUAGCGAUUACGAAGACUUAGAGUUGAGAAGAAUUGCCCUGAAGUCAGCGGUUCUUAGGAAAAGGGAAGAUGGAGUCCAAACGGAGAAGUCUUAUCUCGUAGAAUUAACAAAUCUUUCCAAACAUCCUUGUAGUCAAAGCUUUUUAGACAGUAUUCCAAUUCCUGGGGAAGAAGACAAACCGGAAACACCACCACCGCCUGUGAUAACUACCAAUGAGAAUAAUUAUACCGAAGACAUGGAUCUUGACACUGAUGUAGAGCGCGAAAAGGAGAGGCUACCAUAUUCUCCGACCGAUGACGUUUCUAAUGAAAUUAUGGUGGAAACGGAAUUACUAGGCAUUCAAAGAUCAGAUGUUUCCUUCAUGGGAGCUGAUCGAACACCAGCUGCAUCCAACAAUUGCAGUCCCGUGUACAGUAGCAUCAAUAAUGACCGAAUUCGCCUCCCAAGGAAAGAGACGCUUAGCAGUAAAGAUGAAUUAUCUUUGGAGUACUUUAACUCCAUGAAAAACCUUUCUUAUUUACCACCGAUGGAUGGGCCUUACUCCCCAUCGCAUCCUACGGACACUCCGCGGAUUGAUUAUUAUUCCAGAAACGUCAUUCAAUGCGUUACAACUGUCCAAACGGAAAGGAUAUCCCUAGGAACGAAUCUAGUUAUCCCCAGUCAGGAAAGACCUUACUCUCCUACAGAUACUCCGAUUUAUGAUCCGGAACUAGAUCUUUCUAAAUUGAAACCACACGAGCCUGAUCUAAGCACGCCAAAGUCUAGCUACGUUCCCGAAGUGACAAUGUGCUCGAAGCGAUUAGUACUUGAACAAUGCGCCUUACAGAAUGCGGGAUUUCAAACAAAAUCCAACAAUCAAUCCACUAGGUCCGAAUUGUACGAUCCAGAAUUGGCUCUCUCCCAUUCUGACAUGUACAAUGUGGAGUCUGAAGCGAUAUUGUCUCCGUCCAAGUCAUAUGAUCCGGAUUCUUUCCAGCGAAGCUUAGUAAAUGAAUCUGAAAACAAUGUACUUCCUACAAAUGAUACCGCAACUAGUUGCUCGGUGACGAGCAACAUGAUGGCGAAUUGUUCAGAAAGUAAUCUCGAUCGAAACAAUGUUUGUGGAGCUUGCGAUAAAGCCGAUAAAUCGGAAGUAUCUCCAUCUCUGCAGUAUGCUUCCUUAUCACCCAGGGGAAGUACCGUGUCAUUAACCAGCUCCGUAGCUAGCUUUGACUUUGAUCCAGAUAUUGACCCUGGCAGUCUGUCUAAAGGACAAUCUUCCCAGAAUGUUCAAAGCUCGGAGUCCCUCGAUGAAAUCGCCCGUGACAUAGAAAGGAUUGUCCAGGAGCCGCUUUAUUUAAAAGGUAUACACAUAACUAAAGAUCCUAAUAAGAUUCCUACCUUGGUUAACAGAACGCUGGUUCCUGUCUCUAUAUUGAAGAACAAUAAACAGUUGCAACAACCUCUUCCUCCUAAAAAGUUGGAGGAGCAAAAGCGAAUCGAGCCGGCAUUCAAGAGUGCCGAUAUGCAGCCGGUGGAAAUUGAUGCAGACUUGUCGAAAAGCAACGGGAACUUUAAGCCGAUCAAACUGUGUUCCUUUGCAAAGAAGCAACAAUUUCAGAAGUCCGCUUCCGUUGCCCUUAAUGUUCCUCCCACUGAAGGCGAUCCGGAAUCGCCUAGAAACAAGAAUAGAACUCAGGAAAGUAGUGAAAAGGACGUACAUCGCUUGUUGGAUGCUCAAAGCAAUGUUGCUAUACAUGAGCGAAUCGAAGAAGGAGAAAAGACGAAGAAUUUGAACGAUAAGAAGAAAAGGAAACGCUCAACUGAAGAGGAACGCAGUAAAAAGCAUUCCGAAAGGUCUAGACAAAACAGUCCCGAUGAAGUGACUAGGAAUAAUGUAAACUGUAAUGAAAAGGGACUUUCUUCGGAUGUUUCUUCCUUUCACAAUUAUUGCCAGGUUCGGGAGAUUGCGGGGAGACAAUCAAAGCCUGACGAUCGAACAGAAGAUAAUAAAGAAUUACGUGAUGUUCCAUCGGAAAAAGAAAAUAACAAAGUAAGUUUACAGAUUAGUGACAAUAACAAGCUUAAUGACGACGUUGGGAAACGGAAAGGCGACUCGGAUAGAAAUCCUAAGGAACAAGAGCUUGCUAUCAAAUCUACUACAGAUAAUGUUAAAAGUGUUGCGAAACAAAUAAAGGAAAGUAUCAAUGAGAAAGGAGAAACGAGGGAAGGAAACGCCGCAAAUCAGCCAAGUCAGAAUAUGCCGUCGUUCGAGAAAAGUAGUGAAAAAAUGGCCGACAGUGUAAGUACUUUUGCUCAAACAGACAAAGUUGUUCUAAAUAAUAGGAAGACUAUUGAUAAGAGCGGAAAUUCUGGAAAGAACCUAAUCGAUGAGAAGCCAGAUGAACGGGCAAGACGUCCUAGCAUCGAUGAAGACGAAGAAGAACUUCGAGCGCUCUUGUUAGCAUCCAUGGCCAAGCGGGCAAAAACAGAAGUUUCAACGUCAGCAACAACAAAGAGCACGGCAACAACAAGUUCUACGGCUAUUUCGAGAAAUGCAGUAACUACGACGACUGUUACGAUUCCUGUAGCUACUGUGUCGACAGUUUCAGGAGCUGCGAGGGUAAGUACGCAGUCCGUAACUACAUUUCCAACGACUGCAGCAUCUACAGGAACAACAAAUGUAGCAGCACGAGCUACGGUGUCUUCCGCGCCUGAAAUUAUCACCAAGGAAAUGAAUUAUGCAGCUGGUGCAUAUUCCAAAACUGCAGUUGCCACUAAACAGGGUGACCGUGGUGAUGGCAAAGGACAAAAGCUUCCUGCGAACUCCUCGGCGAGUCGAGUAGCAUCAGAAGUUAGAUUUAACUCACAGCCUGGAAAACGUGUAAAUUGUCCUGCAACGGCUAAUACUGCGCCACAAGGUGCAGUAGCAAAUGCACCAUUGGGUGCAUUGAGCAUAGGUAAUUCUGUCCCUGGAUCGGUGGUACCGACAACAAAGAGCGAAGGUCUGAUUUCUGCGAGGAGGAAACCAUCGGUCUUUGUUCCUAAGGCAACUGCGAGGAAAAUCGUAAAGAAAACUCCUAUCCCUGCCAGCACUAGAGUGGUGAACAACGCUAAAAGGUACCAGAACGUUUUGAACCAGAAAAAGAUGAAUCUGCUAGACGCUGGAGGUGCUUUCAGGGCGCAGAAACCAUUGGUUAACGCUACCCUGCAGAACGUCAAGUAUGAGAGCACUCGUUCCAUCAGUCCAAAGACGGUUUUCUCGGAGACUAACAGAUUUAUUAUAUGCUUGAAUUCUGACUCGGAAAGCGAGACGGAAACUAAUGUACCGAUGUCCAAUGUCGCUGUCAACUCGGAUGCCGGUGGGACGACGAAACGACCGCCUUUGAACAUCCCUACCUCGGAAUUCGAGAAGAGCGUCGACCAAUUUCUCAGAGACGUGAGGAAGAAGCAGGAAUCCGCUGCUGCUAGCAAAUCUCCGUCACAGGGAAAUUCUGUAGCCAGCCAGAAACAACCUUCGUUGAACACGACUGCACAAAAGCCUCAGCCUCCCACGCCAUCAGCAAGUGCGAAAUUACCCGCGAUUUCUGUUACACCUUUGGCGGUCCGUCACCUCCCUGCAUCGCAACAAGAGGAAUAUCGACGUUUAAAACAACAAAUAUUAGAGCGUGAAAAACAAAAGCUGCAACGGAUACUGGACACUAGUAGCAGUACAACUUCCGCCCAACAAAAUAACAAGAAUAACAACAGUCCGACGGGACCAUUGUCUCCAGCAAGUCCUGGGAUAAGUCCACCUUCUAAGCAAAUUCCGCCAUCAACUGUGUUGACUAACUCUACAUUAAUGAAAGAUCGUAGUAUAAAAGUCACCAGUACUGCAAUCAAUAUCGGUAAACGACAAGAACCUGAAGUAAGUGGUGCUGUUUCAAGCACUCCUGAAAUACCAGUUGAUAAGUCAAACCCUCUGGAUAAGUCCAAUAAUCUUCCGAGACCGUCAAUAAAUCCAGUGGCUGAAUUAUCGAAAACAAUUAAUCCUAGUCCAGGAGUUGCAACAUCUAAUACCGAAAUUCUAAAUAAUAAACUUCCUCAAGAGACAGUUGCGACAACGGAUACAUGUGGUGAUACUGAUAUUUCAAUGCAGUCUGAAACAACAAACAUAAUUGUUAAUUCCAAAUCCUUGACUACUAAGUCCAACGAUAAAGAAUUGAAUGAUACAGUCAUUCAAGAAUCAACCGAAAAACUUGUCGAUAAACCGAAUAAUUCGUUACUCAUCCCGAUGCAGUCUGUCUCUGUAACAUCAGAGAAGAUUUCUAUAUCGAAAACUGUUGAUGAAACGUUACGUUCUACGUCUUCAGAAUCGCCUAAACCGCCUCCAGAGUUGCCUAAAACGCCUCCAGAGACCUCUACCAAGAUAACCAACAAGAAUAAAUUAACAACGUUAGAUGUCCCGGAAACUGAAUCGCGGGUUGCAGAUAUGACCGCUGUUCAAGUACCUCGAGCUGAGACACCUAAAAUGGGAAAGGGCUUAUCGAUUUUAACUAAAGAUCAAGUUAACCGGAAAUUUGUACAGAUUCAGUUAAAACACGGUUGUGAAGGCAGAGUCGUAACGUUAGAAGAUAUGGAAACGAGCGUUGUCAACCUCGAAGAAGACCCUGUUUUGGGGAGCAAGAACUGCCGUAACGUCACGACUUCGGAGCCUGUAAAUACCGCUAAUAAAUCGAAAACGCGAAGUGUUUGGAUGAUAGUAAAUAAUAAUGAACCUGUAAAUAAUAGCGUGGAAAUUGUUAAUAAGGAUUUGUCGAGUAAUGCGUCGGUAGACGAUGAGGCGUCUACAUUACUCUUGCCAAAGGACGGCAAUCUUCCUGGAAGCAACGAAACUAUGGAUUCUACUGCUUCUACACUUGUACUGUCGCGAAAUUCGAGGACUAAUAGUACCGAAAGCCCUCGCAGUUCUAGGAGCGCUAGUUGCAAUUCUUCACCGGGCGGGUCUAAAACCAACAGCAGAGCGAAAAUGGAAGAUAUUUUGGAGAAAAUCAAAGCGGAUGUCGAGAAGGAGAUUAAAGGUAUUAGUCAGCUUCCAUUUGCUGACCAAGAGCGGCAACUAUUAGAGGCUGAGCACCAAUUGCUGAAGAAAAGGUACAUGGUCCUGGAUGACUUGACUGAAAUGUCUGGGAAUCUUCGCCUGUGGGAGAUGGAGAGAGACAUUCAAUUGGAUUUGCUGGCAGAAGUGAAUAAACUUCGCGAACAGCUUAAAGUUGUCGAGGAAAGGCUGCAGAUGCAAAAGAAACGCGUCUCCAGUAUGGGACCUAAAGUUGCAGAGGCUCAUGAGAAAAUAAAUUCUGGUCGAAAGGAAUGCUUCAGAUUGUCAAGAUUGUGUGCCGGGCUGGGCCAACGAGUUUGCGGCGAAACCUACAAGGUACCAACUGCGGGCGCAAGUUUGUUAAAUGAUAAAUUAAAGGAAGUUGCGAGUCAUACACGUCCAUUAUCAAGGAAAAGAAUUCCACCUAGUACUUCCAAUUCAGUGUCCCAGACAUUGCUAAGUAAUGAAGUUCGCAGACCUGAAAAGUCUAUACCAAAGGAAUCCAAAAGUAAUGGAAACACUGGGCAGAAGAUAAUGUCUAGUACUAACGAACAAAAGAGCUCAGUUGCAAGUGCACAGGGAAAGAGUUCGGAGGUACAAAAGCAAAGCGUGAACACUAAUGUGCAAAGAAAUAUUUCUUGUAAGAGUGUUCAGGAAAAGCUCUCAGCUAUAAGUGUGAAAAACAAUUCAAAUGCAAGUGUAAGAAAGAAUUUGAGCGAUAAUGUACAAAUAACAACGGCAGAAAAGAACUUAAUUUCAGGUGUAGAAAGAAACUCAAGUAAAAAUGUACAAAGUAAUAUAAAUAUUGAGUCACGGAACAGUCCGAAUGAGAAUGUAUCACAAAAUGUAGCAACAAAUGUGCCUACAGAUGUAAACGAAAAGCUAAAUGAGAACAAUAUUUCGAAAAAUAAGGAAAGUACCAUUCAAGGUAACUCCGAGGACCAUAGAACCGAAUUAGAACAAGUUACUACAGACACGUCUGUGCAGUUUAUUGUAAGUUCCGUACAAGAGAAAUCUCAUAAUGGAACGAGUUCCUCAAAUGAAAAGACCCCUCUGAAGCAAGUAAAUGUCUUCGACAAAACGAAUUCCCUUCAGGAAGUAAGUUCUGAGAUACGGCAAGAUAUUGAAGCGGAUAGAGAGUCGAAUUCUGUAAUAGAGAUAAAUCCCUCGAAUGAAACGAGCACACUUGCACACGAAAUUAAUUCCCUUAAAGAGCCAACUUGUACUAAAGAGUCACAUUUACAGGCAGUCAAUAGAAUUGAUUCUGCCGAAGAAACAUGUCCUUCGAGUGAAAUGAACUCUCAAAAACAAACCGAUAUUCCUAACGAAAGGAGUUCUGUCGAUAAUCCAAGUUCUACGGAACAGCCAAACUCUGAAACUCUUGAAAUAUCCGAUUCCGUUGAAGUUUUGAAUCCUGAAGAACGGCCACAUGCUGCUAUGGAGUCGAUUUCAGCCGAACAAAGUUGUGCCGAGAGUCAACAAACAAUUGUCAAGCAAUCUAUUCCUGUGAGGAAAUCCAGGUCUAUGAAACGAAUGAGUUUAGCGAAGAGACGCAACUCUAUCGUGGGAGAAAAUUGUUCCAAGGAAUCAAAUUCUGCCGUGCAAUUAAAUUCCCAUGAGAGCGUAAAUAGUCUUCCUACUGAUAGUCUUACACAAAACGCCUCCGUACAAAUAGUAGGACCGCCAACGAGUGCUCCUCGAUAUCACCAUAAAAAUCGCCAUGUACGCCUUCUUGAACCAAGCCAAGAUAUGCCGGAUCGUUCGUGCAAUCACAAAAAGAGUUUCGAGCCUUAUAAGUCGCUGUUAACAUCGUUUAGGGAGACAAGGAAACCUCUUCCCGACGGGAUUCUCUGCCCGUACGAAUUGAUGGGCACUUGCCGCGACGGAGAUUGCCCGUUUGUUCAUCACAAUGUCAGUCACGGCCAGUAGCAAUUUAGCUGCUGACAUGCACACAACAAACUUUGUAUACGUACAUUUCUUCCGAAAAGCGAGAGAGCCGCUGAUGGGACGGCCACGCAUUGGAGGGCCAACUGCUACCGAAGAUGCUUUUGAGAUCGUUUUACCAGGUUUUAUUUAACAUGAAUGUAUAUAAAGUGCCGUGUAUUUCUCGAGUGUUUACGAUAUGUACAAAGAGAAGGAGAGAUUGUUGACCAAUCGCUCAAGGGAGACCUCGAGGAACUCCAAAUUCGGAUGUCGAAGACCCACAGGCCAUUGCGACGGAUAUUCGUUGCAUAUUUUACAUACCUCAUAAUUGUAACUCUUGUACCUGUGUAAUAAAAAUUAAAUUCUUUUCGUAAA
RNAcentral lists this unclassified non-coding RNA (8985 nucleotides) under Orussus abietinus. RNAcentral's name for it is "serine-rich adhesin for platelets, transcript variant X4". Lineage: Eukaryota; Metazoa; Arthropoda; Insecta; Hymenoptera; Orussidae. The record is from RNAcentral.